CCUACGGGACGCACCAGUGGGGAAUAUUGCACAAUGGGGGAAACCCUGAUGCAGCAACGCCGCGUGAGUGAUGACGGCCUUCGGGUUGUAAAGCUCUGUCUUCAGGGACGAUAACGACGGUACCUGAGGAGGAAGCCACGGCUAACUACGUGCCAGCAGCCGCGGUAAUACGUAGGUGGCGAGCGUUGUCCGGAUUUACUGGGCGUAAGGGGAGCGUAGGCGGACUUUUAAGUGAGAUGUGAAAUACCCGGGCUCAACUUGGGUACUGCAUUUCAAACUGGAAGUCUAGAGUGCAGGAGAGGAGAAUGGAAUUCCUAGUGUAGCGGUGAAAUGCGUAGAGAUUAGGAAGAACACCAGUGGCGAAGGCGAUUCUCUGGACUGUAACUGACGCUGAGGCUCGAAAGCGUGGGGAGCAAACAGGAUUAGAUACCCCCGUAGUC
This 440-nucleotide ribosomal RNA is filed under the name uncultured bacterium. RNAcentral's name for it is "bacterial SSU rRNA". It matches the Rfam family "Bacterial small subunit ribosomal RNA", at positions 338 to 795 of the family's 1533-position model. The record is from RNAcentral.